UAGGGAAUAUUGCACAAUGGGCGAAAGCCUGAUGCAGCAACGCCGCGUGCGCGAUGAAGGUCUUCGGAUCGUAAAGCGCUUUUCUGGGAGAUGAGAAAGGACAGUAUCCCAGGAAUAAGUCUCGGCUAACUACGUGCCAGCAGCCGCGGUAACACGUAGGAGGCGAGCGUUAUCCGGAUUCACUGGGCGUAAAGCGCGUGCAGGCGGUUCGGUAAGUUGGGCGUGAAAUCUCCCGGCUCAACUGGGAGAG
This 250-nucleotide ribosomal RNA is filed under the name uncultured bacterium. RNAcentral's name for it is "partial 16S ribosomal RNA". It matches the Rfam family "Bacterial small subunit ribosomal RNA", at positions 355 to 621 of the family's 1533-position model. The record is from RNAcentral.